Molecule: long non-coding RNA, 3841 nt
Filed under: Marmota monax (woodchuck)
Lineage: Eukaryota; Metazoa; Chordata; Mammalia; Rodentia; Sciuridae
Source: RNAcentral
GAACUAGGCCAGGCUUUGAGGCUCGCCCUUCGUUCGAGGUCUAACGCAUUAAAAGACCUUGUUCUGGGCGAUUUUUCAGGCUGCCUUGGAAGGGGGCAUUUAACCCGAUUUGAUCUCCACCGAAUGCAUCCGGGCCGAUUCUCUGCCGCGGGGGAACCGCGCCGCCCGCCCUGCGGUUUCCAGGCCCUUUGAGAAAGAUUCCUUUUGAUGUCCCUGGGAGCUCUGUUUCCAGAGCGGCCACAGCUCCAGGAACUGCACAGGGACUGGAGAGCCAGGUCUGUGUCAGAACGCUUGUCCCCUGGCUCUCUGGCAGGACGCCCGCGGGGCCAGGGCGGCAGCCAGGGCUGGGCUUGGGCGAUUCAGGGUGGGGGGCAAGGGUGCGUUUGCUCACCAUGACGGGGUGACAUUCAGCAUUUGCAGGCUACAUAUUUUAAGGCAAAAUCCCUCCCAGCAGGGAACCAUUAGUAAAAUUGUCAUUUGAGGUCAGGCUGAUUUUUUUUUAAUCAUCUCAGCUGCUACUAUAAUUUAUUUAUAAUAUAUAUAUUUUGCAUCGGGGAUCCAACCCAGGGGCUCUCUACCAUUGAGCUACAUCCUCAGCUUUUCCAUUAUUAUUUUUUUAAAUUCUGAGGCAGGGUCUAGCCAUGUUGCCCGGGGUUGGCCUCAUGUUUGCAAACCCCCUCAGCCACUCUGCUCACUAGAUUUACGGACAUGCCCAGCAAUGCCAACGAGAAUAAAGAACAGUUUCCUAAAUGCCACUCGGUGGUUACUCUCUGUCAGUAAAAGAAAGCAAAUUUGAAUUUCAAAUAUCUUGCACCCCGAGCAGUGCUCUAGUUAGCACAGCGCCAGGCCCCCAGCGAACCCCCAAUAAGCCCACCCCAGGUAGGACUUCAGUGGACCGAUGAUCACCAUUCACAAUAUUCUAGUAAGUAGAACUCAGGUACUUGGGGGGGGGGGCGUUCUCUGCCGUAGCAAAGCACAUCAGUGAGCUAUUGCUGAAUAACAAGCAGCCCCCGAACCAUGGAUGAAACGGCUGUUCCCAGGUCACCUGGGCGGGCAACGGGCCUGAGCUCGGCUGGAUGCUGAGGCCGUGUGUCUGUGGUCACUGGAGCUUCAAUGGCUUCCCUCACAUAAGUGGCACUGAGGUGGCCAUUGGUUGUGGAGACAGAAUAACUGGGCCACACGUCCUCGUCAUCCAGAAAGCCAUUAACAAUGGAUCCCUAAGGCGGAAGUUGUAGGACUCCCAAGAGCAGCAGGAGAGGAGACUGUCCCGCCCCUGGACUCAGGAUUGGAAGGCGCUUGGGUCACGUCUGCCAGAUUCCAACUAGAAACGUUCUCCCUGCGUCCUGGGGCGGGGAGCCAGACUGGGCUCCCUGGUGUCACAGGGAGUGACCGAGAACCAGGCACUUAAACAUAGACAAUGCCACACGUGGGAACGGACUGGUUUGCUCAUGUUGAGUGACAGAGGUCCACUGGUCCUCCUCGGACCCCACCCCCAAUCAGGGUCCUCAUUCUCCUCGCACACUUGCUGUACCCUGGAAAUACAUCAGGCCGACCCUCCCCGGUGGGUCCUCCCCUUGGAGGAUGGUCUGAAGCUCUUUCCUCUUCAGUGGUGAUGGGGACACAUUCCUCCUCCCCGGGCCACAUGGGUUCACCCUCCCUGGAGGCCUUCACAGGAUGACCCUGUGGGAGACCAGCACUAACCCUUCCGGGUGUGGGAAGGAGGUGAUAGGCCCCUCCUUGAGUGAGCUGGGGACCCCAGGUCGCCUUGUCCGCCUGACUCUAGGCUCCAGUCACUUACUUCCUGGGGAGUUUAGAAAAAUGAAGAUUUUCUAAAAAUGAAAUUAAGACUCGAAAGUGGCCGAUGCUCUCUGACUUAAUUCCUUUGGUUUUGAAAAUUUUAAGCAAAAGUCACCCUGAUUGGUAGGUUAAUGUGUGAGGCCUGUCGCAGCCACUAAGGCCACAAGACCUCAGUGGCAUUGAGCAGGACAGAAUUGUCUCACAGUUCUGGAGGUUAAAGCCCAACAUGGACUAGGGUCAGGGUAUCAGCUGGGGGCUGAGGGCUCUAGGGAGAUCCCAUUCCCUUGCCCUUCCCGGCUCCCAGGGCUGUCACACUCCCUGGGAGUGCACCCUCAAAGCCAGCAAGCCCCUGCAGUCUCUUCCAUGAACCAUCCCCUGGACUCUGAUUCUUUGGCCACCCCCUCCCCGGUAGGCCCCCCUUAUCUCAGGAUCAGCUGCUUGGACCUUAAUCCCAUUAGCAACCUUGAUUCCCUUUUGCCAUGUGAUCCUACAGAGUUGCAGGUCCCUGAGGAGGCCACCCCAUCACCACGGCUCAGUGAGCUUCACAGGGGCCGGUGGUGGAAAACUUUGGUGUGAUGGCAGCAACUAUGUAGUCUAGUGUCACACAAUCUUUACGGGUAAAAAUCCCUCCACACAGGGCUUCUCCAGCUCCCAGACACAUUACAAUGGUCCAGAACAGGACCACAAUCAUCUCAUGUGCUGGCACACCCAGCAAGCGGAGGGGAGCCCAUCUCUCUGGUCUUGCUAAAACCGAAGGCACACUUAUGUGCAGGAUGGAGACAUGCAAAUAAAGGGGCUCUAGACUUUAAAUGACUCUGUGUUCCUCCUCCCUGUUUCCAUUUCCAGACUUCCCAAAGUUCUUCAAAAAGAAUUCUGCAGCCAUUCAGAAGACAGAAGGAGGAAAACGGUCAUUACGAAAGAGAGCAGAGAGAGUCAAGGCCAGUCCAAGGGGAGAAGCCAGGCUACGGGCCAUCGUCUGGACUUGUCCCUGGGGAGGAAAAACGAUGAGCAGCCGCAGCAGCUGGGGGUGGGUGGGUAAAGAACAAGCAGAUUUCUCUGUUGUCCCCCAUCAGCCUCCUGCUGCAGGGGCUCUGCAGGCCAGGCAGGAUGGGUAGCAGCAGUGUUCUGAUUCUCCAUUCCUUUCCCACCACAACUGUGGCAAUGGGAUUUCCAGCCCCUCCACCCUCCUCUAAGGGUCACUGUUCUUCCUGCCCAUUACUAUGAGGCCUGGCUACCUGGGCUUGGACCAUGUGCCUUCAGCAGAUACGUAAACAAAAGUUUCACAGGGUGCAGUUGAAUCUUGCCUCUUGCGUUUCCACCACGGCUAUUACAACAUGGCCGGGACAGCCUGCUGCUGGGGCAGCCAGGACGAGAGCCAGAGGGAGCAGGCAGAGCCCACCCAGGACUUAGGGCCAAGCUGCAGCCAAGUUCAGGCAAACAAAAGUCAACGGAUGACUGCAAGCUGCUGGGCUUCAGGACGGUUUCUUACACACCACUGUGGUUGGAACAAGCUGACUGAUACAGAAGGGGAAACAGAAAUUCCCCUGGCACAGAUCCUGGUAGCAGCCAGGAACAGUCGACUAAGAACUCUGACAUUAGCAAAGUUAGAAAAAGAUUUUUUUCUUCUUUUUUUAGAAGCAGCAUCUGAUCACGUGGCGGAGUCACUUGUGAAACAAGCUGAAGGAGACUUAUUAACCAGAAAACCCAGGAGCCGACUUCCUCGUUGACUCCUCAGAUCCAGGGUCGUGCUUCUUUCACAGCCAGCAGCCCUGCUCUGCGUUUGACCCCGGCUGGACCGAGUUAUUCUGGAUCUCGUGACUCUGGGGCUUAAAAUAGUCUCUGCUGAGCCAUCUGCCUGGGGACCCAUCUCACUCCUGAGAGGUGUAGCAGCUGGGGCAGAGCUGAGCGCGGCUCCUGUUAAGGAAGUGAACAAUCUCUGGGCUUCGCUCCAUCCUGUGAGUGCGCCCAGGGGAGAAAAUAAAACAGAGGGCAUUUGGCUGCCAGAGAAGAGUAAGAGCUUAAGGAGAGAACCCGGCGGGGGGGA